ACUCAAAUGAAUUGACGGGAGCUUGCACAAGCGGUGGAGCGUGUGGCUCAAUUCGUCGCUAAACGAAGAACCUUACCAGGUCUAGAAAUCCUACUGCACGCCUCGGGAAACCGAGGAAGCCUUCGAGGGUGUAGGACAGGUGAUGCAUGGCUGUCGUCAGUUCGUGGUUUGAAUCGUUCCCUUCAGUGGGGUAACGAACGCAACCCUCGUUGCCUGUUACAAGUGUCAGGCGAGACUGCCCCCUCACGGGGGAGGAAGGUGAGGAUGACGCCAAGUCAGCAUGUCCCUCUGAUGACCUGGGCUGCACACGCGCUACAAUCGCCGUUACAAAAGGGCGCGACGGGGUAACCCUGAGCAAAUCCUCUAAAAGCGGCGCCAGUUCGGAUUGAGGUCUGCAACCCGACCUCAUGAAGCCGGAAUCGCUAGUAAUCGUGGGUCAGCUAUACCACGGUGAAUACGUUCUCAAGCUUUGUACACACCGCCCGU
Molecule: ribosomal RNA, 486 nt
Filed under: uncultured bacterium
Lineage: Bacteria
Description: partial 16S ribosomal RNA
Rfam family: Bacterial small subunit ribosomal RNA
Source: RNAcentral